UUUAAGGUCUAGCCUGCCCAAUGAGGAUUUAAAUGGCCGCAGUAUUUUGACUGUGCAAAGGUAGCAUAAUUAUUAGUUUUUUAAUUGAAAGCUUGUAUGAAGGGUUGGACGAGAUAAAAUCUGUCUUUAUUUAAAUUAGAGUAUAACUUAACUUUUAAGUCAAAAGGCUUAAAUCUUUAUAAAAGACGAGAAGACCCUAUAGAUCUUUAUUUAUUUGAAAUUUUAAUAAUUUAGGAUUAUUUUAAUUUGAAGUUUUAAAUAAAUUUUAUUGGGGUAAUAUAAAGAUUAACUAAAUUCUUUUUAUUUAUUACAUUGAUUUAUGAAUAUAUGAUCCAUUAAUAUUGAUUAUAAGAUUAAGUUACCUUAGGGAUAACAGCGUAAUUUUUUUGGAGAGCUCAUAUCGAUAAGAAAGUUUGCGACCUCGAUGUUGGAUUAAAAAUUAGCUUGGGUGCAGAAGCUCAAGAUUUUGGUCUGUUCGACCAUUAAAUUUUUACAUGAUCUGAGUUCAGACCGGCGUAAGCCAGGUCGGUUUCUAUCUUUAUUUAAAUAAAAUGUUUUAGUACGAAAGGACCAAAUAUUUAAUAUAGUUAUAUUUAUUUUUUGAAGAAUAUU
Molecule: ribosomal RNA, 612 nt
Filed under: Cicindela (Rivacindela) sp. JP-80
Lineage: Eukaryota; Metazoa; Arthropoda; Insecta; Coleoptera; Carabidae
Description: partial 16S ribosomal RNA
Rfam family: Bacterial large subunit ribosomal RNA
Source: RNAcentral